UACGUAGGGGGCUAGCGUUGCUCGGAAUCACUGGGCGUAAAGCGCACGUAGGCGGCUUUCUAAGUCAGGGGUGAAAUCCUGGAGCUCAACUCCAGAACUGCCUUUGAUACUGGAGAGCUUGAGUCCGGGAGAGGUGAGUGGAACUCCGAGUGUAGAGGUGAAAUUCGUAGAUAUUCGGAAGAACACCAGUGGCGAAGGCGGCUCACUGGCCCGGUACUGACGCUGAUGUGCGAAAGCGUGGGGAGCAAACAGG
This 253-nucleotide ribosomal RNA is filed under the name uncultured bacterium. Its description in RNAcentral is "partial 16S ribosomal RNA". It matches the Rfam family "Bacterial small subunit ribosomal RNA", at positions 524 to 776 of the family's 1533-position model. The record is from RNAcentral.